CGCACAUUGCACCCCUUGGUAUUCCGGGGGGUAUGCCUGUUCGAGCGUCAUUAUGACCUCUCCAGCUCAGCUGGGUGUUGGGCUCCGCCGUCGGGCGGGCCUUAAAAGCAGUGGCGGUGCUCUGAAGCUCUACGCGUAGUAAUCAUUUCUCGCGCCAGGGUCGGAGGAGAGGCUGGCCAUCAACCUCAACUUUCUCAGGUUGACCUCGGAUCAGGUAGGGAUACCCGCUGAACUUAA
Molecule: unclassified non-coding RNA, 237 nt
Filed under: Crucellisporiopsis marquesiae
Lineage: Eukaryota; Fungi; Ascomycota; Leotiomycetes; Helotiales; Lachnaceae
Description: partial contains 5.8S ribosomal RNA, internal transcribed spacer 2, and large subunit ribosomal RNA
Source: RNAcentral